UACGUAGGGUGCGAGCGUUGUCCGGAAUUACUGGGCGUAAAGGGCGCGUAGGCGGCCUUCUAAGUCAGACGUGAAAUCCCUCGGCUCAACCGGGGAACUGCGUCUGAGACUGGAAGGCUUGAAUCCGGGAGAGGGAUGUGGAAUUCCAGGUGUAGCGGUGAAAUGCGUAGAUAUCUGGAGGAACACCGGUGGCGAAGGCGGCAUCCUGGACCGAUAUUGACGCUGAUGCGCGAAAGCCAGGGGAGCAAACGGG
RNAcentral lists this ribosomal RNA (253 nucleotides) under uncultured bacterium. RNAcentral's name for it is "partial 16S ribosomal RNA". It matches the Rfam family "Bacterial small subunit ribosomal RNA", at positions 524 to 776 of the family's 1533-position model. The record is from RNAcentral.